Molecule: microRNA precursor, 141 nt
Filed under: Bombyx mori (domestic silkworm)
Lineage: Eukaryota; Metazoa; Arthropoda; Insecta; Lepidoptera; Bombycidae
Description: microRNA bmo-mir-3334 precursor
Source: miRBase by way of RNAcentral
CGUUGCUGCUCUUCUAGUUUCCCUCCACGUGAACCAGAAUGAUGGAAGGACAGGGCGGCAGGUGCUCUUCGUCCGACGACGUCGAUGUUCCUUUGGUUUGAUUGUUCCAGGUUCUUCAUCGUGUAGCUCAAGUAUUGCUUU